CCCUUAGAUGUUCUGGGCCGCACGCGUGCUACACUGAGUGGAUCAGCGGGUCAGGUUGCGCGAAAGCGUUUCCUAAUCUUUAAAUCCGCUCGUGAUGGGGAUUGACGGUUGCAAUUUUCUGUCAUGAACGAGGAAUACCUUGUAAGCGCGGGUCAUCAUCCCGCGCUGAAUACGUCCCUGCCCUUUGUACACACCGCCCGUCGCUCCUACCGAUUGAGUGGUCCGGUGAGGCUUUGGGAUCUGAGCGGAAGAGCGUUUCGCUGUUUCUGCUCGGAAAACUCAGUCGAACCUUAUCAUUUAGAGGAAGGAGAAGUCGUAACA
RNAcentral lists this ribosomal RNA (321 nucleotides) under uncultured eukaryote. RNAcentral describes it as "partial 18S ribosomal RNA". It matches the Rfam family "Eukaryotic small subunit ribosomal RNA", at positions 1470 to 1796 of the family's 1831-position model. The record is from RNAcentral.